This 30-nucleotide non-coding RNA is filed under the name Mus musculus (house mouse). The record is from RNAcentral. Lineage: Eukaryota; Metazoa; Chordata; Mammalia; Rodentia; Muridae.
UACAAGGUUGAGGAGAUAUGUCACUGGUGU